AGGGUUUAUGGACCCUUUAUGCUUUAUGUUUGCUUGUUGAGCUUGUUUGUUGGAGUUUAAGUUGUCUUAAGCUCCUAUAUGCUUGUUGUUUUGAGAUAUGGAUGAGUUAGAGAGGGUGGAUGCAUGUUGGGAAGGAUUGGAAGGUAUGGGAGGCGUGUUUAUGCACGAAGCUGAGUUCUGGAUGAACUCAGGUUCGGCAGCCGAAGGAGGAUUCGGCCGCCGAACAUGUUCGACUUUCGUCUCUGGAGGAG
Molecule: long non-coding RNA, 251 nt
Filed under: Manihot esculenta (cassava)
Lineage: Eukaryota; Viridiplantae; Streptophyta; Magnoliopsida; Malpighiales; Euphorbiaceae
Description: long non-coding RNA (MESC_LNC008017)
Source: RNAcentral